This is a long non-coding RNA of Colossoma macropomum (tambaqui), 590 nucleotides long. RefSeq lists it as uncharacterized. Lineage: Eukaryota; Metazoa; Chordata; Actinopteri; Characiformes; Serrasalmidae. The transcript has 3 exons. The record is from RefSeq and is a predicted model, not a curated record.
ACGCGCUAGCAGCCGUCCCUUGAUGAUGACACGCGCGGGCGGUGUGAUGAAGGGCUGUGAGAUGGCCUCAGUGCAGAAGCCAGUGAGAUGCCAUCGCUCAGGCCAGACCUGGGGGCUCAUGCAGGAGAAAAGAAGCAGUACAGAGAGAGAGAGAGAGCAGCACAAGAUGAAAUCCCUGUUGCCAUGCAUGGAGCUUGAGUAGAUUCUUGACGAGGCUAUCGGUUCAGUGGCAGAUCGUUAAUAGCAAACACAAUCACAGCACCUGGCGUGAAUGACAAUGGAUAACAAGGAGCAGAGCAAGAAGCUGAAGCAGCAGCGAAGGUCUCCAGGUCCCAGAUGCCAGUCAAAGCUGGAUCCACAAUGUCCGCUUCAACAAAAUGGACUGAUCCAUGGCAGAGAAUGACCGAACAAGAGAAGAGCAAAGGGCUGGGAAAAAGAGAAGGAAAAAUUAUUCUCUUGUUAUUUGUAUUCCUCCCUACCACCAAAGUGUUUUCGUUCAUAAAGACAUUACGUUUCAAAAGGGUUCUUAUCUGAUAUGGCCUAACACAAGAUGAUCUUUAUUGCUACACAGUUUAGCACAGCCAGACAUA